UUCAACUCCUUCUUCACUUAAAAAUGUUUUGCCUUGUGCCCACUAACAUUGACCUUCUCUUCCUUCUCCUAUGGCCGAUUAACACUUUUCAUUGAAGGUUGUUGUCAAUAUCAGCCGACAAAGGUGUAAUACCCAAUUUGGAUGCUUGGGCUUAUGAUGAGCUUGAUCAAAAUUAUGAACCUUGUAUUCCAGUUGAAGCAGCAGAAGAAUCGCUCAUGUACUUCUUUUUCAUCUCCUAGCUGGAUGCAUGCUAAAAACGCAGAUCUGGUUCACUCUCCUGUUUUGCUAGUGCAGGUAUGAUAUAGGUUUCAAUGGUAACAGUUUGUGCUGAGCUUUUGGUCGACAUAAAGACACGGCGUAAGUUGGACUUGGUUGUGCUACUGGUAUACCUCUCUCCGGCGGAGGCUAACCAGUGGCCGUGGCGGCCAUAUUUACCGAUCAGUAGGCAAGAUUAGGCUUUGGCGGUGGCUACUUAUACACAAGAAGAUGAUUAGGCAAUAGUUUACGUAGUAGGUAUUUCAUUGGAAUGUUGUAGCAUAAUUUUUGCAUCAAUGGUAUUAUACCUAAGUUUGUAUAAUUGAUAAUGCUAGUAGUCUAGUACUAGGUCGUUUGGCCAUGUGAGAGAUUAAAAAUAAUAGUGAUGGGAUAAAAAAAAGUUAUCUUGUUUGGUUGCCAUGUUUGGGAUAACUUAUCUCAUCAUUUAUAUCAUAGUGAUGGGGUAAGUUAUCCCGUAUACAUGGUGGGAUAAGUUAUCUCAGGAUAGCU
This is a long non-coding RNA of Solanum stenotomum, 765 nucleotides long. RefSeq lists it as uncharacterized. Lineage: Eukaryota; Viridiplantae; Streptophyta; Magnoliopsida; Solanales; Solanaceae. The transcript has 4 exons. The record is from RefSeq and is a predicted model, not a curated record.